GACAAAUCGAAGAAGGACAAAAGUACAUCAUAGCCCAUUCAAAGAGAGAAGUGCUCCCGGCUGAAAAGCACUUCGGAUGAAGAAUGAUGGAAAGCUGUGUCCUGAGUGCAGCAAACACUGCCGUGGGCCGCGUUAAGGCAUUUGAGAGGCCGGUGUCUUUGUUGAACCGGCAAUCAGGGUGGUACCGCGAACAAGCUUCGUCCCUGUU
This 208-nucleotide non-coding RNA is filed under the name Domibacillus enclensis. Its description in RNAcentral is "T-box sequence". It matches the Rfam family "T-box leader". From Rfam's summary of the family: Uncharged tRNA acts as the effector for transcription antitermination of genes in the T-box leader family. Lineage: Bacteria; Bacillati; Bacillota; Bacilli; Caryophanales; Bacillaceae. The record is from RNAcentral.